This 698-nucleotide small RNA is filed under the name Pan troglodytes (chimpanzee). RNAcentral describes it as "retained intron". Lineage: Eukaryota; Metazoa; Chordata; Mammalia; Primates; Hominidae. The record is from RNAcentral.
GCCCACUGUCUGGCACUCCCUAGUGAGAUGAACCCGGUACCUCAGAUGGAAAUGCAGAAAUCACCCGUCUUCUGCGUCACUCACGCUGGGAGCUGUAGACCGGAGCUGUUCCUAUUCGGCCAUCUUGGCUCCUCCCCCCUUAAAUUUUUAUUUAUGUAUUUAUUUACUUUUUCAUAGAACCACCAAGUCCAAUACAAUACACUUUGGCAGGAGUUUUCAUUGAGAUUACAUUGAAUUUAUAGAUUAAAGUAGAGACACUUUUGACUUGAUCUCUGCAGUCCUCAACAUGGUAUGUAACACAAGAUAGGUCCUUAAUACUUGCAUUUGCUUGAUUUGAAACUAAAUGGGUGACCGUCACGAUGACAUCUCUCAGCUUGCUCUCAUGUGGCACCACUGGGUCAUCCUUCCCAUCCCGUGACAGUUCUUAGACUCAAGUUCAGGUUUAGUUAGUCUAUCCUAGCCCCCUGUGUUGUUUACCAUUCCACAGACAAUGCAUUUCUUGGCUACUGGGAAAAAACAUCCUGCAGUGUGAACCAAUCUCCCCCCUCUCCCUGCCUAGCCCUGGGUCUCAGUUUGCAGAGGCUCUGCCUUGGGCUCAUUCUCACAGAGCAGCAGCAGCCGCAGAUAAAAGUGGGGCAAGGUUCACCUGAGCACAAAGCAGAGCCCGGACUGGCUAAUAAAUUAUGUAGAGAUUCUAU